AUACGGAGGAUGCAAGCGUUAUCCGGAUUUAUUGGGUUUAAAGGGUGCGUAGGCUGACGUGUAAGUCAGAGGUGAAAUGUCCGGGCUCAACCUGGAAACUGCCUUUGAUACUGCAUGUCUGGAGUUCGGAUGCCGUGGGAGGAAUGGGCAGUGUAGCGGUGAAAUGCAUAGAUAUUGCCCAGAACACCGAUUGCGAAGGCAUCUCACGAAUCCGACACUGACGCUGAGGCACGAAAGCGUGGGGAUCAAACAGGAUUAGAUACCCUGGUAGUCCACGCAGUAAACGAUGAUAACUAACCGUCGGCGAUAGACAGUCGGUGGCCAAGCGAAAGCGAUAAGUUAUCCACCUGGGGAGUACGUUCGCAAGAAUGAAACUCAAAUGAAUUGACGGGG
This 393-nucleotide ribosomal RNA is filed under the name uncultured bacterium. RNAcentral's name for it is "partial 16S ribosomal RNA". It matches the Rfam family "Bacterial small subunit ribosomal RNA", at positions 523 to 918 of the family's 1533-position model. The record is from RNAcentral.